CGAUUGGAUGGCAGGUCAUAGAUAAAUUAUCAAAUCUCAACAUCAGUCAUAUGAUAGAUCUGAUCAGCUCAAGUCCAAUUGUAAUUUUUAUGAAAACUCCUUUCCAUCAAUCACACUAUUGUGGCCACAGAUUCUCGGACUUAGUCUCUCAAAUCUUAUAGAACUGCUCUUCUCUAUUAAGAUCAAUAGAUCCCAUCUAGAUGUGCAUCCUACUCUUACAAUGGACCAAC
Molecule: long non-coding RNA, 230 nt
Filed under: Elaeis guineensis (African oil palm)
Lineage: Eukaryota; Viridiplantae; Streptophyta; Magnoliopsida; Arecales; Arecaceae
Description: long non-coding RNA (EGUI_LNC037449)
Source: RNAcentral